RNAcentral lists this transfer RNA (76 nucleotides) under Parahaemophilus parainfluenzae. Its description in RNAcentral is "Haemophilus parainfluenzae (human oral metagenome) tRNA-Lys". It matches the Rfam family "tRNA". From Rfam's summary of the family: Transfer RNA (tRNA) molecules are approximately 80 nucleotides in length. Their secondary structure includes four short double-helical elements and three loops (D, anti-codon, and T loops). Lineage: Bacteria; Pseudomonadati; Pseudomonadota; Gammaproteobacteria; Pasteurellales; Pasteurellaceae. The record is from RNAcentral.
GGGUUGUUAGCUCAGUUGGUAGAGCAGCGGACUCUUAAUCCGUCGGUCGAGAGUUCGAGACUCUCACAGCCCACCA